GGAUCGCUAGCUCAAUGGUAGAGCACCGCCCUCUUAAGGCGGCUGUUCAGGGUUCGAGUCCCUGGCGAUCCACCA
Molecule: transfer RNA, 75 nt
Filed under: Candidatus Blackburnbacteria bacterium RIFCSPHIGHO2_02_FULL_44_20
Lineage: Bacteria; Candidatus Blackburniibacteriota
Also listed under: 2 other names
Description: tRNA-Lys
Rfam family: tRNA
About the family: Transfer RNA (tRNA) molecules are approximately 80 nucleotides in length. Their secondary structure includes four short double-helical elements and three loops (D, anti-codon, and T loops). Further hydrogen bonds mediate the characteristic L-shaped molecular structure. tRNAs have two regions of fundamental functional importance: the anti-codon, which is responsible for specific mRNA codon recognition, and the 3' end, to which the tRNAs corresponding amino acid is attached (by aminoacyl-tRNA synthetases). tRNAs cope with the degeneracy of the genetic code in two manners: having more than one tRNA (with a specific anti-codon) for a particular amino acid; and 'wobble' base-pairing, i.e. permitting non-standard base-pairing at the 3rd anti-codon position.
Source: RNAcentral